This 66-nucleotide transfer RNA is filed under the name Ichneutes sp. QL-2013. RNAcentral's name for it is "tRNA-Pro". Lineage: Eukaryota; Metazoa; Arthropoda; Insecta; Hymenoptera; Braconidae. The record is from RNAcentral.
CAAAAAAUAGUUUAAAAAAACAUUAAUUUUGGAAAUUAAAAAUAUAACUUUAUAUUAUUUUUUUGA